Capsicum annuum is the source of this 119-nucleotide non-coding RNA. Lineage: Eukaryota; Viridiplantae; Streptophyta; Magnoliopsida; Solanales; Solanaceae. The record is from Rfam.
GGAUGCGAUCAUACCAGCACUAACGCACCGGAUCCCAUCAAAACUCCGAAGUUAAGCGUACUUGGACGAGAGUAGUACUAGGAUGGGUGACCCCCUGGGAAGUCCUCGUGUUGCAUCGC